RNAcentral lists this unclassified non-coding RNA (326 nucleotides) under soil metagenome. RNAcentral's name for it is "partial contains 5.8S ribosomal RNA, internal transcribed spacer 2, and large subunit ribosomal RNA". The stretch from base 1 to 122 matches the Rfam family "5.8S ribosomal RNA", at positions 35 to 154 of the family's 154-position model. The record is from RNAcentral.
GAUGAAGAACGCAGCGAAAUGCGAUACUUGGUGUGAAUUGCAGAAUCCCGUGAACCAUCGAGUCUUUGAACGCAAGUUGCGCCCGAAGCCAUUAGGCCGAGGGCACGCCUGCCUGGGCGUUACACGUCGCGCGGUUGGCAUAAAUGCCAAGUCCUCGGCGACGCACGCCACGACAAUCGGUGGUUGCGAAACCUCGGUUGCCCGUCGUGUGCGGUCGUCGCGCAUCGAGGGCUCGAAAAAAUUGCCGGGCUCCGGCUCGGCUUUCAACGCGACCCCAGGUCAGGCGGGGUUACCCGCUGAAUUUAAGCAUAUCAAUAAGCGGAGGA